Molecule: ribosomal RNA, 203 nt
Filed under: Listeria monocytogenes
Lineage: Bacteria; Bacillati; Bacillota; Bacilli; Caryophanales; Listeriaceae
Description: partial 23S ribosomal RNA
Rfam family: Bacterial large subunit ribosomal RNA
Source: RNAcentral
UUCUAAGGGCGGUGAAGUCAGACCGGAAGGACUGGUGGAGCGCUUAGAAGUGAGAAUGCCGGUAUGAGUAGCGAAAGAAGGGUGAGAAUCCCUUCCACCGAAUAUCUAAGGUUUCCUGAGGAAGGCUCGUCCGCUCAGGGUUAGUCGGGACCUAAGCCGAGGCCGAUAGGCGUAGGCGAUGGACAACAGGUAGAGAUUCCUGU